Non-coding RNA from Pelobates cultripes (western spadefoot toad), 692 nucleotides. Lineage: Eukaryota; Metazoa; Chordata; Amphibia; Anura; Pelobatidae. The record is from the annotation of a GenBank genome assembly.
CUUGGACAUUUCUACCUAUGCGAACAACAUAAAUAAGUGUGAACAAUGUAAAAAUAAUAACAAAGCUUUUUUUUUAAACAGUACAAUUGGUCUGGUUAAAAGUCAAUUACUUAAAUAUUACUUGGGGCAUCACAAGAGAAGACAAAUCAAUAUGUGCAGAAAUCAGCUAAUAUUAACACAAACUAAGAUAUUAACACAAACUUUAACAAUUAUAGCUCAAUUUACUAAACUGCGGUUGUGAUAACAUCUUGACAUACAAUUGUUAUUACUAAGUAUAUGACCUAGAUAAUAAGACCCAAGAGCAUUUAUAAACUCUUACAUUCUAUUUUCAAAAUAAUUUAUUAAAUACUGUUCAGUUUGGUCCAUAAACACCAUUAUGACUUCGCAGCUUCUUUUUUCCCUUUAAAGAAUAGAUAAGUGACUUUUCUAUACCCUCCACAGUUGUCUCCAGUUUUCUCUGUCUAUUUUAAUUGUAUUUAAUUAUUACAGUUGCAAGAAAAAGUAUGUGAACCCUUUGGAAUGAUAUGGAUUUCUGCACAAAUUGGUCAUAAAAUGUGAUCUGAUCAUCAUUUAAGUCACAACAAUAGACAAUCACAGUCUGCUUAAACUAAUAACACACAAAGAAUGAAAUGUUGCCAUGUUUUUAUUGAACACACCAUGUAAACAUUCACAGUGCAGGUGGAAAAAGUAUG